Molecule: ribosomal RNA, 227 nt
Filed under: uncultured Eubacteriales bacterium
Lineage: Bacteria; Bacillati; Bacillota; Clostridia; Eubacteriales
Description: uncultured Clostridiales bacterium partial 16S ribosomal RNA
Rfam family: Bacterial small subunit ribosomal RNA
Source: RNAcentral
AGUAACGCGUGAGUAACCUGCCUUACACAAGGGGAUAGCCUCUGGAAACGGAGAAUAAUACCCUAUGAAACUAUCUUAUCGCAUGAAAAGAUAGUCAAAGUGUUUUAGCGGUGUAAGAUGGACUUGCGUCUGAUUAGCUAGUUGGUGAGAUAACAGCCCACCAAGGCAACGAUCAGUAGCCGGCUUGAGAGAGUGUACGGCCACAUUGGGACUGAGAUACGGCCCAG